AACGCUAGCUACAGGCUUAACACAUGCAAGUCGAGGGGCAGCAUGAACUUAGCUUGCUAAGUUUGAUGGCGACCGGCGCACGGGUGAGUAACACGUAUCCAACCUGCCGAUGACUCGGGGAUAGCCUUUCGAAAGAAAGAUUAAUACCCGAUGGCAUAGUUCUUCCGCAUGGUGGAACUAUUAAAGAACUUCGGUCAUCGAUGGGGAUGCGUUCCAUUAGGUUGUUGGCGGGGUAACGGCCCACCAAGCCUUCGAUGGAUAGGGGUUCUGAGAGGAAGGUCCCCCACAUUGGAACUGAGACACGGUCCAAACUCCUACGGGAGGCAGCAGUGAGGAAUAUUGGUCAAUGGACGAGAGUCUGAGCCAGCCAAGUAGCGUGAAGGAUGACUGCCCUAUGGGUUGUAAACUUCUUUUAUACGGGAAUAAAGUGAGGCACGUGUGCCUUUUUGUAUGUACCGUAUGAAUAAGGAUCGGCUAACUCCGUGCCAGCAGCCGCGGUAAUACGGAGGAUCCGAGCGUUAUCCGGAUUUAUUGGGUUUAAAGGGAGCGUAGGCGGACGCUUAAGUCAGUUGUGAAAGUUUGCGGCUCAACCGUAAAAUUGCAGUUGAUACUGGGUGUCUUGAGUACAGUAGAGGCAGGCGGAAUUCGUGGUGUAGCGGUGAAAUGCUUAGAUAUCACGAAGAACUCCGAUUG
This 693-nucleotide ribosomal RNA is filed under the name uncultured bacterium. RNAcentral describes it as "bacterial SSU rRNA". It matches the Rfam family "Bacterial small subunit ribosomal RNA", at positions 32 to 715 of the family's 1533-position model. The record is from RNAcentral.